RNAcentral lists this ribosomal RNA (458 nucleotides) under uncultured bacterium. RNAcentral's name for it is "bacterial SSU rRNA". It matches the Rfam family "Bacterial small subunit ribosomal RNA", at positions 28 to 484 of the family's 1533-position model. The record is from RNAcentral.
GAUGAACGCUGGCGGCGUGCUUAACACAUGCAAGUCGAACGGAGUUGUCUCGCUGAAGCGAGCUUGCUCAAUUCUUGAGGCAACUUAGUGGCGGACGGGUGAGUAACGCGUGGGUGACCUGCCUUAUACUGGGGGAUAACACUUAGAAAUAGGUGCUAAUACCGCAUAAGCGCACAGUUCUGCAUGGAACAGUGUGAAAAACUCCGGUGGUAUAAGAUGGACCCGCGUCUGAUUAGAUAGUUGGCAGGGUAACGGCCUACCAAGUCUACGAUCAUUAGCCGAACUGAGAGGUUGAACGGCCACAUUGGGACUGAGAUACGGCCCAGACUCCUACGGGAGGCAGCAGUGGGGAAUAUUGGGCAAUGGGCGAAAGCCUGACCCAGCAACGCCGCGUGAAGGAAGAAGGUCUUCGGAUUGAAACUUCUUUAUGAGGGCGAAGGACGUGACGGUACCUCAUG